This 495-nucleotide ribosomal RNA is filed under the name uncultured Streptococcus sp. RNAcentral describes it as "partial 16S ribosomal RNA". The record is from RNAcentral. Lineage: Bacteria; Bacillati; Bacillota; Bacilli; Lactobacillales; Streptococcaceae.
CACGUAGUUAGCCGUCCCUUUCUGGUAAGUACCGUCACAGUGUGAACUUUCCUACUCUCACACUCGUUCUUCUCUUACAACAGAGCUUUACGAUCCGAAAACCUUACUUCACUCACGCGGCGUUGCUCGGUCAGGGUUGCCCCAUUGCCGAAGAUUCCCUACUGCUGCCUCCCGUAGGAGUCUGGGCCGUGUCUCAGUCCCAGUGUGGCCGAUCACCCUCUCAGGUCGGCUAUGUAUCGUCGCCUUGGUGAGCCGUUACCUCACCAACUAGCUAAUACAACGCAGGUCCAUCUCUUAGUGAUGCAAUUGCACCUUUCAAAUCAAUAUCAUGCGAUAUCGACUUUUAUGCGGUAUUAGCUAUCGUUUCCAAUAGUUAUCCCCCGCUAAGAGGCAGGUUACCUACGCGUUACUCACCCGUUCGCAACUCAUCCGCUCGGUGCAAGCACCAAGCUUCAGCGUUCUACUUGCAUGUAUUAGGCACGCCGCCAGCGUUCA